AUACGAAGGGGGCAGGCGUUGUUCGGAAUAACUGGGCGUAAAGCGCACGUAGGCGGAAUGUUAAGUUAGAGGUGAAAUCCCAGGGCUCAACCCUGGAACGGCCUUUAACACUGGCAAUAUAGAGACCGAGAGAGGUGAGUGGAAUUCCGAGUGUAGAGGUGAAAUUCGUAGAUAUUCGGAGGAACACCAGUGGCGAAGGCGGCUCACUGGCUCGGUACUGACGCUGAGGUGCGAAAGCGUGGGGAGCAAACAGGAUUAGAUACCCUAGUAGUCC
RNAcentral lists this ribosomal RNA (274 nucleotides) under uncultured bacterium. Its description in RNAcentral is "partial 16S ribosomal RNA". It matches the Rfam family "Bacterial small subunit ribosomal RNA", at positions 523 to 796 of the family's 1533-position model. The record is from RNAcentral.